AAUAGUCUAACGACUGAACCAGCAAUUUGGAAGAAUGUAUAGCAAUAGCUAGUUGCAUAACGUUAUGUAAUAUCGAUUAUAUUGAAUAAAGUUCUGAGUAAAUCUAGAUGAUGACUUAAUUUACUCACGUGUAUUGACUAAAAUGCGUGCCAGCAGUCGCGGUAAGACGUAUAAUACUUGUGUUAUUCAUCUUUAGCAGGUUUAAAGGGUACUUAGACGGCAGAUCAAGCUAUAACAAGGACUAUUCUGCUAGGGUUACUUAUAAAGGGGCUUUAAAGUACUAAUGGAGUAGAGAUAAAAUGCUAAUAUACCUUUUUUUGAAAAAGAUAAAAUGGCACUGAUAAAGGCGAAAGCAUCUCCUUAUGUGAUAACUGACGUUAAAGGACGAAGGCUUUGUGUUGCGAACAGGAUUAGAUACCCUGGUAGUCGAAGCAGAGAAUGAUGAGUGCCAUAGAUUGGAAUAAGUUUAAUCUAUAAAUGAAAGUGUAAGCACUCCACCUUAAGAAUAAUGUGGCAACACCGAAAUUGAAAUCAUUAGACCGUUUCUGAANNNNNNNNNNNNNNNNNNNNNNUAAUUUGAUAAUCCACAAAAAACCUUACCACAAUUUGAAUAUUUAUAGUUAACUAUAUUUACAAGCGUUGCACGGCUGUCUUAAGUUAAUGUCGUGAGAAUUUGGUUAGCUCCAUUAAAUUGACGUAAACCCUCGUUUUAUUUUUUUAUAGAACGGUUCACCGCUAUAUUGGAUAUGAUAAUAGGGAAGAAGACAAGUCAUCAUGGCCUGAAUAUUGU
RNAcentral lists this ribosomal RNA (790 nucleotides) under Ramalinaceae sp. RNAcentral's name for it is "partial small subunit ribosomal RNA". It matches the Rfam family "Bacterial small subunit ribosomal RNA", at positions 370 to 1210 of the family's 1533-position model. The record is from RNAcentral. Lineage: Eukaryota; Fungi; Ascomycota; Lecanoromycetes; Lecanorales; Ramalinaceae.